GAUGAACGCUGGCGGCGUGCCUAAUACAUGCAAGUCGAGCGAACGGACGAGAAGCUUGCUUCUCUGAUGUUAGCGGCGGACGGGUGAGUAACACGUGGAUAACCUACCUAUAAGACUGGGAUAACUUCGGGAAACCGGAGCUAAUACCGGAUAAUAUUUUGAACCGCAUGGUUCAAUAGUGAAAGACGGUCUUGCUGUCACUUAUAGAUGGAUCCGCGCUGCAUUAGCUAGUUGGUAAGGUAACGGCUUACCAAGGCAACGAUGCAUAGCCGACCUGAGAGGGUGAUCGGCCACACUGGAACUGAGACACGGUCCAGACUCCUACGGGAGGCAGCAGUAGGGAAUCUUCCGCAAUGGGCGAAAGCCUGACGGAGCAACGCCGCGUGAGUGAUGAAGGUCUUCGGAUCGUAAAACUCUGUUAUUAGGGAAGAACAAAUGUGUAAGUAACUAUGCACGUCUUGACGGUACCUAAUCAGAAAGCCACGGCUAACUACGUG
RNAcentral lists this ribosomal RNA (497 nucleotides) under uncultured bacterium. RNAcentral describes it as "partial 16S ribosomal RNA". It matches the Rfam family "Bacterial small subunit ribosomal RNA", at positions 28 to 507 of the family's 1533-position model. The record is from RNAcentral.